This 465-nucleotide ribosomal RNA is filed under the name Vreelandella stevensii. Its description in RNAcentral is "partial 16S ribosomal RNA". It matches the Rfam family "Bacterial small subunit ribosomal RNA", at positions 338 to 795 of the family's 1533-position model. The record is from RNAcentral. Lineage: Bacteria; Pseudomonadati; Pseudomonadota; Gammaproteobacteria; Oceanospirillales; Halomonadaceae.
CCUACGGGUGGCAGCAGUGGGGAAUAUUGGACAAUGGGCGAAAGCCUGAUCCAGCCAUGCCGCGUGUGUGAAGAAGGCCUUCGGGUUGUAAAGCACUUUCAGUGGGGAAGAAAGCCUUGGGGCUAAUACCCUCGAGGAAGGACAUCACCCACAGAAGAAGCACCGGCUAACUCCGUGCCAGCAGCCGUGGUAAUACGGAGGGUGCGAGCGUUAAUCGGAAUUACUGGGCGUAAAGCGCGCGUAGGCGGUCUGAUAAGCCGGUUGUGAAAGCCCCGGGCUCAACCUGGGAACGGCAUCCGGAACUGUCAGGCUAGAGUGCAGGAGAGGAAGGUAGAAUUCCCGGUGUAGCGGUGAAAUGCGUAGAGAUCGGGAGGAAUACCAGUGGCGAAGGCGGCCUUCUGGACUGACACUGACGCUGAGGUGCGAAAGCGUGGGUAGCAAACAGGAUUAGAUACCCUUGUAGUC